AUCAACAUCAAAUGGCAAGUGACUGAGUUUUGCUCAGUCGUUGUAGUGGAAGCGCCUCUAUAGGUUGUCAGUGAGAUAGCCACUAGAGGUGUGUUUAGCCCUUCAAGUUAAACAUUACUGUCUCUGAAAAUGGCAGUGUUUUAAUUUGAAGGCUUAUAAUUGCAGAAACACUGCACCCAGCCCCUGCUUUACUUUAGUGGCCCUUUAAAUACAAACAGUGAAGAGCAUGACAAACUAUGCAUUCACAGUGCAAUGUUUGGGGACCCAGGACAUACUUGAAAAUGAGAGAAAUCUCAAUGUAUCCAUCCUGGUAAAAUAUUUUAUAAAUAUAGAAUUGUAAGAAUGUAAAAUGGUAAUUAAAUAGAAGGCACUGUACUUUAAAGUUAUCAUCAUUGUUGCCCAAUCUAAUAGUUAAAUUACAGAAGGUGCCAGAUCAUUUUGUGACAAAUGAGCACAGCGCAGACAUUUUUUUUAUCAUCAGGCUGUCCGCAGUGGAGAAAGGGUUGGCAGACUUACAACAUAAUCUGCACAAGGCUGACAACAGGAUGGACGCCUCGGAGCACUGCGGCCUUUCUCCCACCUAAGUAUGCCAAGGCCAUAAAGCUAGACAGCAUGUUCCGUCUCCCUAUACCUGCGGGUGCACCACCCUUUGUCUCUCCGGACCUCAUCAUCAGAUUCCAGUCCCUACAGGACAAGGCUUUGCUCCUGGAGGCUGUGAGGGGAAAGUCACCAAUCUCCUUUGAGGCAACUACACCUGAUGCUCUCCCCGGACCUCAUGAGGAACACCUUGACCUGGUGUCUCUCUUACAGAAGUUACAGGCGUAGGACAUUCCUUACCGAUGGGGACUACCCCAAACCAUUAUGUUUACCCAGCAGGGCACGAUGUACCAUGCGGGAUCCUACCAAGAUUUGGAAGACCUCAUGCAAACACAGAGCAUUAUGGAGCAAGCUGAAGCAGCGGGGACAAGCCUGUUCAAGAGUUUACACCUCGAGCAGCACAUGCUGCAUUGUCCUCAAGAGGACCUGAUAGAAUAACCCUCAAGCCUCCAGUGUUCCCGUAUUGCAAGAGCUUUAUCUUUAAUAACCACCAAAAAUUACCUUCCUUGAAUUUAUUGUUCAGUUCUUAUUUAAGUUUAUUGACAAAACUUGGACAGUAUCUAUCAUUAUGCUGUGUCAUCUGUGACAGAUCUCUCUGUCUUGGACUUACAUGGAACUACUAUUCCUUCGUUUGCUUGAUUUGUGUGAUUUUAUUUGAUUCGUGUUGUUCCCCGUUCGUAUGGACUCCAUAUACUUCCCCUGAAACUACCGAACAAAACUCCCGAACGGCCGGCCGGCCACCCAGUAGAGAAGUGUGCUGCUGGUUAACCUCUUG
Pelobates cultripes (western spadefoot toad) is the source of this 1372-nucleotide non-coding RNA. NCBI's taxonomy places the organism in Eukaryota, Metazoa, Chordata, Amphibia, Anura, Pelobatidae. The record is from the annotation of a GenBank genome assembly.